This 299-nucleotide signal recognition particle RNA is filed under the name Microcebus murinus (gray mouse lemur). RNAcentral's name for it is "Metazoan signal recognition particle RNA (ENSMICG00000042182.1)". It matches the Rfam family "Metazoan signal recognition particle RNA". From Rfam's summary of the family: The signal recognition particle (SRP) is a universally conserved ribonucleoprotein. It is involved in the co-translational targeting of proteins to membranes. Lineage: Eukaryota; Metazoa; Chordata; Mammalia; Primates; Cheirogaleidae. The record is from RNAcentral.
GCCGGACGCGGUGGCGCGCGCCUGUAGUCCCAGCUUCUCGGGAGGCUGAGACGGGAGGAUCCCUUGAGUCCAGGAGUUCUGGGCUGUAGUGCGCUAUGUCGAUCGGGUGUCCGCACUAAGUUCGGCGUCAAUAUGGUGACCUCCCGGGAGCGGGGAGCCACCAGGUUGCCUAAGGAGGGGUGAACCGGCCCAGGUCGGAAACGGAGCAGGUCAAAACUCCCGUGCUGAUCAGUAGUGGGAUCGCGCCUGUGAAUAGCCACUGCACUCCAGCCUGGGCAACAUAGCGAGACCCCGUCUCU